Molecule: ribosomal RNA, 465 nt
Filed under: Vreelandella stevensii
Lineage: Bacteria; Pseudomonadati; Pseudomonadota; Gammaproteobacteria; Oceanospirillales; Halomonadaceae
Description: partial 16S ribosomal RNA
Rfam family: Bacterial small subunit ribosomal RNA
Source: RNAcentral
CCUACGGGAGGCAGCAGUGGGGAAUAUUGGACAAUGGGGGGAACCCUGAUCCAGCCAUGCCGCGUGUGUGAAGAAGGCCCUCGGGUUGUAAAGCACUUUCAGUGAGGAAGAACGCCUGGUGGUUAAUACCCAUCAGGAAAGACAUCACUCACAGAAGAAGCACCGGCUAACUCCGUGCCAGCAGCCGCGGUAAUACGGAGGGUGCGAGCGUCAAUCGGAAUUACUGGGCGUAAAGCGCGCGUAGGUGGCUUGAUAAGCCGGUUGUGAAAGCCCCGGGCUCAACCUGGGAACGGCAUCCGGAACUGUCAAGCUAGAGUGCAGGAGAGGAAGGUAGAAUUCCCGGUGUAGCGGUGAAAUGCGUAGAGAUCGGGAGGAAUACCAGUGGCGAAGGCGGCCUUCUGGACUGACACUGACACUGAGGUGCGAAAGCGUGGGUAGCAAACAGGAUUAGAUACCCUAGUAGUC